CGGAACAGAAAGACAAAAAUCAUAGAUGCUUUUUUAAAUUGAUAUGUUUUUCAAUUGUGAGGAUUCAUUUCUAUUAUUUGUUGAAGAAAUGACAGAGUUGGCUAAAGCUCGAAGCAGUUUACUAGCCGUAGUAAAUUGAAUUAGUCAAUUAAAUGCAAAGAGGAAAUAUUUAAUUAGCGAAGUUGGAGUGAAUUUGUUUUGCCAGUUUUGUGUCAUCAGGGACGUUAAGUGCUCUUUUAGCUCCUUAGUCGGCGGUUCUUGCUCUUAUGACCCCAGAGAUAGGAGCAGAUCAACUGAGGUUAUUCAAUUUCUGAACUGCAAAAGAGACAUCGCGGGUCAUAAGUCUUCCUUGUCAAUAACUGACGUAGAAACCGAAAUCGAACUUAUUUUGAGAAGAGUAUCUACAUCCUUUUGUUCGGAGUUAGACCUUUCGGAAUUAACGAUUUGUCCCCAGCACCGCUCAUCCCUUGGUAUUGGGUGGCGUCGAGGAUCGAAUCUGUGCUGAGUUCCUCCGCCAAUCUCGAAGCACGGCGGACAAGCCCAAAAAACGCAAAGGCAGAAAGAGGACUUGGCAAAAGUGCUUGUUAUUUGAUAUGGAAGAAACUGGGAAUUUUUAUUCCAGUUGGUUCAGGUAUUUGUCUCAACUGCCGGGUUAAUCUUGACAUGCAGAAAAUAGGGGAGCUGCCCACAAAGCUUCCGGAGACCAAGAACCUUUCUUACGAGGAAACUGAGACCAUUGAGACUUCUGUAAGUUCUGAACUGGCACUCAAUAGAAAUAGUGUUAUUAACAGUGGCACCAAACAAGGCCCGCGGGCAAAAAAAGAUUAAAAAAAAAAAAAAAA
Long non-coding RNA from Pocillopora damicornis (cauliflower coral), 842 nucleotides. NCBI's taxonomy places the organism in Eukaryota, Metazoa, Cnidaria, Anthozoa, Scleractinia, Pocilloporidae. The record is from RefSeq and is a predicted model, not a curated record.